GAGUUGAUUUGGUUUUCUCUUUAAUUAAAUUGGACCAAACCAAUUUUGGUUUAACCCAAACUUGGAUACAUAUAUAAAACGUAUGCAUCUCCUCCUCUUCCCUACCCUAGCCGCACCCAUCUCUUUUAAUGGCGAUCAAAAAAAGAAGCCACUAUCAUCACUCGUUCGUUGCCGCAGCCAUCGUCCUUCACCACCAGAGUCACCACGCUCACCGGAGGUGAAGUCCCUACCAUCACAUGCUUCGUUCUGUGCCGCUGCAGCCAUGAUGGUGAAGUUAUGUACCGGAUCCUUUAGACGCUGAACAUGACCGAGACGAGAAGAGAAGGUGAAGCCGGACCACCGUAUUAUCACCGCGGGCGUAAGCUGUUCAGCCGUGAGUUGAAUGUCACCGGAGAUCCAUGUCGCACUCAUCACCACUCGUCCUUUCCAAUGCGAUCUAUAUUCAUGUUCAUGGGAUGAACGUAAGGCCUCUCCCUUCCCUUACGUGAUGUCAUGUUAUACUAAUGACUCUUAACUGUGUUAUUUGGUCAAACGUGAGUUCAUGCAUAGGAGAAUCUAUUUUUCCUUGUGUUCUUGAUAAGCAAGUAAUUCCAACCAUGAGCCUUGGUCUUAAUUAAUUAAUCUCUUGCUUUUUGCCGAACUGCCAUGUGAUGCGUUUGAUCUGCCUUUAUGCGCCAUUGAUGAGAGAUCAAGACCCAAGGAGAAACCUUGAGUUUUCUUGUUGUUCAAGUCAUCUUGUUAUUUCGCCUUGUUUCUAGUUCUCCGAUAUGGCAAAGGAGAAGACCAAGUUUCAUUUCGUUUCAUUUCGUUUCAUUUAUCUCGUGUUCUUCUUUCUUUCAUAGUCGUUGAAGUUUCUUUCGGGUGUCGUCUAGAAUUCGGGACGAAUUCCAGUUAAGUGGGGAAGAAUUGUAACGACCCGGUUUCCUUAACCGGAGUUGAUUUGGUUUUCUCUUUAAUUAAAUUGGACCAAACCAAUUUUGGUUUAACCCAAACUUGGAUACAUAUAUAAAACGUAUGCAUCUCCUCCUCUUCCCUACCCUAGCCGCACCCAUCUCUUUUAAUGGCGAUCAAAAAAAGAAGCCACUAUCAUCACUCGUUCGUUGCCGCAGCCAUCGUCCUUCACCACCAGAGUCACCACGCUCACCGGAGGUGAAGUCCCUACCAUCACAUGCUUCGUUCUGUGCCGCUGCAGCCAUGAUGGUGAAGUUAUGUACCGGAUCCUUUAGACGCUGAACAUGACCGAGACGAGAAGAGAAGGUGAAGCCGGACCACCGUAUUAUCACCGCGGGCGUAAGCUGUUCAGCCGUGAGUUGAAUGUCACCGGAGAUCCAUGUCGCACUCAUCACCACUCGUCCUUUCCAAUGCGAUCUAUAUUCAUGUUCAUGGGAUGAACGUAAGGCCUCUCCCUUCCCUUACGUGAUGUCAUGUUAUACUAAUGACUCUUAACUGUGUUAUUUGGUCAAACGUGAGUUCAUGCAUAGGAGAAUCUAUUUUUCCUUGUGUUCUUGAUAAGCAAGUAAUUCCAACCAUGAGCCUUGGUCUUAAUUAAUUAAUCUCUUGCUUUUUGCCGAACUGCCAUGUGAUGCGUUUGAUCUGCCUUUAUGCGCCAUUGAUGAGAGAUCAAGACCCAAGGAGAAACCUUGAGUUUUCUUGUUGUUCAAGUCAUCUUGUUAUUUCGCCUUGUUUCUAGUUCUCCGAUAUGGCAAAGGUGAGCUUGACGAGUAGUCGGAUAUCUGGACGGAUGGUGUCUUGGGAUUGUCGUAUUUUAUUUCGAUUUUCAACUCGACUUAUUUGACAUAUUUUUAUAAUUGAUUUUAAAGAUAUAUUUCUUGUGGAUAUAUUUUAUUAAAUAUUUUUAAUAUUUUUAGGUUUUAAAUAA
This is a long non-coding RNA of Raphanus sativus (radish), 1879 nucleotides long. RefSeq lists it as uncharacterized. NCBI's taxonomy places the organism in Eukaryota, Viridiplantae, Streptophyta, Magnoliopsida, Brassicales, Brassicaceae. The record is from RefSeq and is a predicted model, not a curated record. The transcript has 3 exons.